Mangifera indica (mango) is the source of this 2267-nucleotide long non-coding RNA. RefSeq lists it as uncharacterized. Lineage: Eukaryota; Viridiplantae; Streptophyta; Magnoliopsida; Sapindales; Anacardiaceae. The transcript has 2 exons. The record is from RefSeq and is a predicted model, not a curated record.
UAUCGUUUUUAAUAUAUAUGGAUCAAAACGACGUCGUUUUGUAUAAAUAUUAUCAAGAUAAAAGCAAAGAAACCAGAUGAGGCUCAUCAAGAUAAAUCAGAAAAAAUAGUUAAUGCACAUCUGCAAGGCUGCUUGGCUAUAAAAGGAAAAGAAGGCAGUGAAGGAGAGCAUGACGGGAAAGACAAUUAAUUGGGGAAAUUGGAGGCUUAGGCCUAAGGACAUUGGCUACUAUUCUUGGCAAUCCAAUCUUGUUGGCACCGGAGUCAGAUCCAGGGGACAGCAACAUUCUUGCAGGAGGCGCCACUCUCAGUCCAGGAACGCAUCAUACUAUUUUUAUGAUCUUUCUUGUUUUCUUGCUUCUUUAUGUCUCUGUUUCUCAGUCCAGUUUUGAAAUUUUGCUAUCAAGAUUCAAAUGUUUUAAUCCAUUAAUGUGAUACUUCUCUGAAUUUACAUGGAUAUCUGAAUUUAGAGAUUUUAUUGACUGAGUUUAAGUUCUAGAUUAGCCAUUAACUCACUGUUUUCAACUGAAGAAGGGGUAUUUUGGCUGUUCCUCUUCCUUUUUAUAUCUCAGUUUAGCUAAAAGUUUGUUUUUCGGUAUCUGGGUAUUUUUGCUUAGGAAAAGCAUUUGUGGGUUUCUGUUGCUUUUCAGUUUAUUAAGCUAAAAAUCAUUACUUGAUUCAUUUGUUUUAUCAACAUUAAGUAGGCUGGAAGUUUUUCUUUUUCUUUUUUGGUUGAAUUUGUCUCAAAACUUGUUGGUUUUUUUUCUGGGUACUUUCUUAGGAAAAAAAAUUUGUGGGUUAGUUUAUGGGGUUUAUUUCCAUUUUUCCGAUGUUAAAAAAUUCGUUGUUAGAUUGGUUUUGGUAUUGGAUUGUUUGUUCUGUUAUAUGUUUGCUUAUUUGUAACUGCUUUGGUGUUAUACACUCCUUCCAUCUGCAGCAAAGUGCUCCAUGGAUAAGCUUACUCCUAACCAUUCUUCUGUUCGUUUGUAGCAUACCAUGAAGUUGUUUCCAAGUAGAAAAAGCUUAAUUAUAUUACUAGACAUAGUUCCCCGCUUGGGUUGCUAACAAAUAUGUAAACCCCCAACUUCAUCAGUUAAAAGACAGCCCCAAAAGUGCUCCACAGUGUUUCCUUCUGGUAUUAAUUUAGUCAUACUGGGCUAGAAUUCUCAUAGACCCUAGCAGGCCAGCCAAAAUAUUGGAUAUAUAAUGAGUUGAGGCUCAUAGCGAUGCCAAACCCAAAACUGAUGAAAGCAGUAUCGCAUAAAUGGCCCUUAGAAGACGCUGUCAACAACAUUCAAUCAAGCUAUUGUUAUUUUCAAACUGAUGAAAGCAAUGUCUAAAGUCAAUAAAAUUAGGGCGGCAAAUGAAUCCUGCUACUCAUGGCUUGACACUAGUCAAGCCGACCUCAGUUAUUGUUAACUGGAGGUUGAGCUUGUUGUCUCUCAGUUUAGUGAACUCAUGAGUUUGCAGUUAGUUCAAGUGUAAUAUCAAGGUUGAUAACCUACACCCAAAUCGGUUGAAAUCCAUAUUUUUCAAAAACCCAUAGUUCUAGUUAGUUUUGUGUGUUAUAGAACAAGUCCCCCAAGGGUGGGAGAACUUUUGCCGGUUUUUAGGACAUUUUUCUCAACAUGUGCCCUCAUUCGAGUCAAGAUAGAUAGUUUCAUGAGAAUUUCCGAAAUAUAUGCUCAAAAUUGACUAUUGUUAAAAGUUAGAUUUGAAACUUGAGAGUGUAACACCGCUAGAUAAGUUUGAUAUUCGCAAAAUAUGGAAAAGACAUUAGAUAUGUAUGGACAUCUCACAUCAUUUAAGAAUGAUAGCAGAAGAUUGAUUAUAUAAUCUAUGAAAGCAAAAUUGUGAAAACUUUUUGUCCUAAAUAGACAACAUCUUGAUAAUGAGUAAGGAUAUUAGACCAAAAAUGUUACCUCAACAUUCUCUUUGGGCAUAACCUAACCAUCAUGUUGACAAAUCUUAAGGUGAUUAACCUAAUAAUCUACUGUCAGCAUCUCUCACUUUAAUAAGUAUAUUAGAUAGGGCUAGUGUAUGGUAAGAAAUUUUCUCAGCAACUAUUCAACCUGAUUUUUAAUUGUCCACAAAUUUUGGGAAAUUUAGAGUUUUAAUUCUUCACUAUUUCUGUGUUGAUAGGAACUCUCUUGAUAUGACCAAUCAAUGAACCCUCUUAAUUGACCAUCAACAAACCCCAUUAACAAACCAAAUCUUGUUGGACUUGAAAGUGGAGAUUUCUUAUUGAACCACCCACUGAAUAAUUUU